Molecule: ribosomal RNA, 253 nt
Filed under: uncultured bacterium
Lineage: Bacteria
Description: partial 16S ribosomal RNA
Rfam family: Bacterial small subunit ribosomal RNA
Source: RNAcentral
UACGGGGGGAGCAAGCGUUGUUCGGAUUUACUGGGCGUAAAGGGCGCGUAGGCGGCGUGACAAGUCACUUGUGAAAUCUCCGGGCUUAACUCGGAACGGUCAAGUGAUACUGUCGUGCUAGAGUACAGAAGGGGCAACUGGAAUUCUCGGUGUAGCGGUGAAAUGCGUAGAUAUCUGGAGGAACACCGGUGGCGAAGGCGGCAUCCUGGACCGACACUGACGCUGAGGAGCGAAAGCCAGGGGAGCAAACGGG